UGGCUCAGUCGGUAGAGCAUGGGACUCUUAAUCCCAGGGUCGGGGGCUCGAGCCUCAC
RNAcentral lists this transfer RNA (58 nucleotides) under Dipodomys ordii (Ord's kangaroo rat). It matches the Rfam family "tRNA", at positions 8 to 63 of the family's 71-position model. Rfam says of the family: Transfer RNA (tRNA) molecules are approximately 80 nucleotides in length. Their secondary structure includes four short double-helical elements and three loops (D, anti-codon, and T loops). Further hydrogen bonds mediate the characteristic L-shaped molecular structure. tRNAs have two regions of fundamental functional importance: the anti-codon, which is responsible for specific mRNA codon recognition, and the 3' end, to which the tRNAs corresponding amino acid is attached (by aminoacyl-tRNA synthetases). tRNAs cope with the degeneracy of the genetic code in two manners: having more than one tRNA (with a specific anti-codon) for a particular amino acid; and 'wobble' base-pairing, i.e. permitting non-standard base-pairing at the 3rd anti-codon position. The record is from Rfam by way of RNAcentral. Lineage: Eukaryota; Metazoa; Chordata; Mammalia; Rodentia; Heteromyidae.